Molecule: ribosomal RNA, 616 nt
Filed under: uncultured bacterium
Lineage: Bacteria
Description: bacterial SSU rRNA
Rfam family: Bacterial small subunit ribosomal RNA
Source: RNAcentral
CCUACGGGAGGCAGCAGUGGGGAAUUUUGGACAAUGGGCGCAAGCCUGAUCCAGCAAUGCCGCGUGCAGGAUGAAGGCCUUCGGGUUGUAAACUGCUUUUGUACGGAACGAAACGGUCCUUUCUAAUACAAGGGGCUAAUGACGGUACCGUAAGAAUAAGCACCGGCUAACUACGUGCCAGCAGCCGCGGUAAUACGUAGGGUGCGAGCGUUAAUCGGAACUACUGGGCGUAGAGCGUGCGCAGGCGGUUUAUAUAAGACAGGUGUGAAAUCCCCGGGCUCAACCUGGGACCUGCAUUUGUGACUGUAUAGCUAGAGUACGGUAGAGGGGGAUGGAAUUCCGCGUGUAGCAGUGAAAUGCGUAGAUAUGCGGAGGAACACCGAUGGCGAAGGCAAUCCCCUGGACCUGUACUGACGCUCAUGCACGAAAGCGUGGGGAGCAAACAGGAUUAGAUACCCUGGUAGUCCACGCCCUAAACGAUGUCAACUGGUUGUUGGGUCUUCACUGACUCAGUAACGAAGCUAACGCGUGAAGUUGACCGCCUGGGGAUACGGCCGCAAGGUUGAAACUUAAGGAAUUGACGGCUGAGAGNGCGAGACGACGACGAGGGAGGAGG